This 411-nucleotide long non-coding RNA is filed under the name Mus musculus (house mouse). Its description in RNAcentral is "RIKEN cDNA D330041H03 gene". The record is from RNAcentral. Lineage: Eukaryota; Metazoa; Chordata; Mammalia; Rodentia; Muridae.
UACGGUCCCCCCCCCCGCCCCCCCUCCCCGACUGGUCUAAAGUUUCCUGGACUUGUUUUGCUCAUUCUGAAGCGCGCGAUGAUUGGCUGACCGGCACCAGAGGUUUGUGCUCUUUGGCGCCUACCGGAUCUGUGUGGAUGGAGCUACUCGGGUUGCCUCUGCUGUCAUUAGGAUCUAAGGCACCCUGCUGAGGCCGCGUUAUUGUAGUAAAGGGACAGGCUGGUACGGACGAUUUAUUUAUUAUUAUAUCUAAGUACACUGUAGCUGUCUUCAGAUGCACCAGAAGAGGGCAUCAGAUCUCAUUGUCUUUGGAAGAGCAGUCGGUGCUCUUAACCACUGAGCCAUCUCUCCAGCCCACGUAUAGUCUGAGCCUUACUUAUCCCAGCAUGUUGCUAACCUAUGGAGGCCAAG